UGGGGAAUAUUGCACAAUGGGGGAAACCCUGAUGCAGCGACGCCGCGUGAACGAAGAAGGUAUUCGUAUCGUAAAGUUCUGUCCUAUGGGAAGAUAAUGACAGUACCAUAGAAGAAAGCUCCGGCUAAAUACGUGCCAGCAGCCGCGGUAAUACGUAUGGAGCGAGCGUUGUCCGGAAUUAUUGGGCGUAAAGGGUACGCAGGCGGUUUAAUAAGUCGAAUGUUAAAGAUCGGGGCUCAACCCCGUAAAGCAUUGGAAACUGAUAAGCUUGAGUAGUGGAGAGGAAAGUGGAAUUCCUAGUGUAGUGGUGAAAUACGUAGAUAUUAGGAGGAAUACCAGUAGCGAAGGCGACUUUCUGGACACAAACUGACGCUGAGGUACGAAAGCGUGGGGAGCAAACAGG
This 403-nucleotide ribosomal RNA is filed under the name bacterium. RNAcentral describes it as "partial 16S ribosomal RNA". It matches the Rfam family "Bacterial small subunit ribosomal RNA", at positions 355 to 776 of the family's 1533-position model. The record is from RNAcentral.